UUUCCGUAGGUGAACCUGCGGAAGGAUCAUUAAAGUUAUAGUCCCCCGGCCCUCUGGGCUGGGGUCUUCUAUACCACCCUUUGUUUAUUACACCUUUGUUGCUUUGGCAGGCCUGCCCUCGGGCUGCUGGCUCCGGCCGGCUCGCGUCUGCCAGAGGACCUAAACUCUGUUUGUAUAUGAAGUCUGAGUACUAUAUAAUAGUUAAAACUUUCAACAACGGAUCUCUUGGUUCUGGCAUCGAGAAGAACGCAGC
Molecule: unclassified non-coding RNA, 253 nt
Filed under: plant metagenome
Description: partial contains small subunit ribosomal RNA, internal transcribed spacer 1, and 5.8S ribosomal RNA
Source: RNAcentral